AGUGAACGCUGGCGGCGUGCUUAACACAUGCAAGUCGAACGAGAACGUGUUAUAGCUUGCUAUAAUUGUCAGCUAAGUGGCGCACGGGUGAGUAAUGUAUAGGUAAUAUGCCUCUUACUAAGGGAUAACAAAUGGAAACGUUUGCUAAUACCUUAUACUCCUUAUUAACAUAAGUUAAUAAGGGAAAGAUUUAUUGGUAAGAGAUUAGCCUGUAUUGUAUCAGUUAGUUGGUGGGGUAAUGGCUAACCAAGACUAUGACACAUAACUGGUUUGAGAGGAUGAGCAGUCACACUGGAACUGAGACACGGUCCAGACUCCUACGGGAGGCAGCAGUGGGGAAUAUUGCACAAUGGACGAAAGUCUGAUGCAGCAACGCCGCGUGGAGGAUGACACAUUUCGGUGCGUAAACUCCUUUUAUAUGAGAAGAUAAUGACGGUAUUAUAUGAAUAAGCACCGGCUAACUCCGUGCCAGCCGCCGCCGUAA
This 484-nucleotide ribosomal RNA is filed under the name uncultured bacterium. RNAcentral describes it as "partial 16S ribosomal RNA". It matches the Rfam family "Bacterial small subunit ribosomal RNA", at positions 29 to 523 of the family's 1533-position model. The record is from RNAcentral.